RNAcentral lists this ribosomal RNA (492 nucleotides) under uncultured bacterium. RNAcentral's name for it is "partial 16S ribosomal RNA". It matches the Rfam family "Bacterial small subunit ribosomal RNA", at positions 29 to 507 of the family's 1533-position model. The record is from RNAcentral.
AGUGAACGCUGGCGGUAGGCCUAACACAUGCAAGUCGAACGGCAGCACAGUAAGAGCUUGCUCUUACGGGUGGCGAGUGGCGGACGGGUGAGGAAUACAUCGGAAUCUACUUUUUCGUGGGGGAUAACGUAGGGAAACUUACGCCAAUACCGCAUACGACCUACGGGUGAAAGCAGGGGAUCUUCGGACCUUGCGCGAUUGAAUGAGCCGAUGUCGGAUUAGCUAGUUGGCGGGGUAAAGGCCCACCAAGGCGACGAUCCGUAGCUGGUCUGAGAGGAUGAUCAGCCACACUGGAACUGAGACACGGUCCAGACUCCUACGGGAGGCAGCAGUGGGGAAUAUUGGACAAUGGGCGCAAGCCUGAUCCAGCCAUACCGCGUGGGUGAAGAAGGCCUUCGGGUUGUAAAGCCCUUUUGUUGGGAAAGAAAAGCAGCAGGUUAAUACCCCGCUGUUCUGACGGUACCAAAAGAAUAAGCACCGGCUAACUUCGUG